Molecule: unclassified non-coding RNA, 634 nt
Filed under: Hevea brasiliensis (rubber tree)
Lineage: Eukaryota; Viridiplantae; Streptophyta; Magnoliopsida; Malpighiales; Euphorbiaceae
Source: RNAcentral
CUAAUAUUUUCUUCUGACUCACCUGAUACACCCGAAACAACCUCAGUGGCCGAAAUCUCAUAGAAAGGCAGGCCGAUUUCAUUUCCUAUGGCACGAGCCAAUGAGGACUUUCCACAACCAGGGGGUCCUUGUAGCAAAAUUCCAGUUAUGGGUUUGAUCCCCAACCGCUGAAGCUGCUUCGAAUGAUAGAAUGGCACAAUCACCUCCCUCUUCAAUUGCUUCAACAGAUCCUUCAUCCCUCCAAAAUCUUUAAGCCUAGGCCCUUCUUCCUUUGCGACCCCUGUCUCUGUUUCUGCCCCAUUAACAGAACUCAAUACCCCUUUCCUUGCAUUCCCUUCACUGCCCAUCUGAAUAUCAGCAACCUUAUUGUCUAUGGAAACUUCCAACUCCACACUCUUCUCCAAACCCUCGUUCUUUGUUUUGUUCGACUCGGCGUAAGAUGUUCGGAGCAUCGACUUCAUCAAAUCGAACUCCGGCUCUACUUUUUCCCCAUAUAUGGCAUCCUCCGACGUCGACUCUCCACUAUUACCAGAAUCCGAUGACAAUGAUGACGAAGAAUCAUCCUGAUUGCUGUGUUGUAUCCUCCUGAGGUGCAUAUUCUCUAUGCUUUGCAACCUCUGUUCGCUGACGUCGG